CACUCCUGCGGGAGGCAGCAGUGGGGAAUAUUGCACAAUGGGCGCAAGCCUGAUGCAGCCAUGCCGCGUGUAUGAAGAAGGCCUUCGGGUUGUAAAGUACUUUCAGCGGGGAGGAAGGCAAUACGGUUAAUAACCGUGUUGAUUGACGUUACCCGCAGAAGAAGCACCGGCUAACUCCGUGCCAGCAGCCGCGGUAAUACGGAGGGUGCAAGCGUUAAUCGGAAUUACUGGGCGUAAAGCGCACGCAGGCGGUCUGUCAAGUCGGAUGUGAAAUCCCCGGGCUCAACCUGGGAACUGCAUUCGAAACUGGCAGGCUUGAGUCUUGUAGAGGGGGGUAGAAUUCCAGGUGUAGCGGUGAAAUGCGUAGAGAUCUGGAGGAAUACCGGUGGCGAAGGCGGCCCCCUGGACAAAGACUGACGCUCAGGUGCGAAAGCGUGGGGAGCAAACAGGAUUAGAAACCCCAGUAGUCCCAUG
RNAcentral lists this ribosomal RNA (474 nucleotides) under uncultured organism. RNAcentral describes it as "partial 16S ribosomal RNA". It matches the Rfam family "Bacterial small subunit ribosomal RNA", at positions 334 to 799 of the family's 1533-position model. The record is from RNAcentral.